This 253-nucleotide ribosomal RNA is filed under the name uncultured bacterium. RNAcentral's name for it is "partial 16S ribosomal RNA". It matches the Rfam family "Bacterial small subunit ribosomal RNA", at positions 524 to 776 of the family's 1533-position model. The record is from RNAcentral.
UACGGGGGGGGCAAGCGUUGUUCGGAAUUACUGGGCGUAAAGGGCUCGUAGGUGGCCAACUAAGUCGGACGUGAAAUCCCUCGGCUUAACCGGGGAACUGCGUCCGAUACUGGUUGGCUUGAGUUUGGGAGAGGGAUGCGGAAUUCCAGGUGUAGCGGUGAAAUGCGUAGAUAUCUGGAGGAACACCGGUGGCGAAGGCGGCAUCCUGGACCAACACUGACGCUGAGGAGCGAAAGCCAGGGGAGCAAACGGG